GAUUAACGCUAGCGGCAGGCAUAAUACAUGCAAGUUGAACGGCAGCACAGGUAGCAAUACUGGGUGGCGAGUGGCGCACGGGUGCGUAACACGUAUGCAACCUACCCUAUACAGGCGAAUAACCUUUAGAAAUGAGGGCUAAUACGCCGUAGUAUUACAGAUGGGCAUCUAUUUGUAAUUAAAGAUUUAUCGGUAUAGGAUGGGCAUGCGUCCCAUUAGUUAGUUGGUAAGGUAACGGCUUACCAAGACGAUGAUGGGUAGGGGAUCUGAGAGGACUUACCCCCACACUGGUACUGAGACACGGACCAGACUCCUACGGGAGGCAGCAGUAAGGAAUAUUGGGCAAUGGCCGCGAGGCUGAUCCAGCCAUGCCGCGUGCAGGAAGACGGCCUUAUGGGUUGUAAACUGCUUUUAUACGGGAAUAAUAGAGUGUACGCGUACAUUUAUGCAAGUAUCGUAUGAAUAAGCAUCGGCUAACUCCGUG
This 484-nucleotide ribosomal RNA is filed under the name uncultured bacterium. RNAcentral describes it as "partial 16S ribosomal RNA". It matches the Rfam family "Bacterial small subunit ribosomal RNA", at positions 28 to 507 of the family's 1533-position model. The record is from RNAcentral.